UACGUAGGGUGCAAGCGUUGUCCGGAAUUAUUGGGCGUAAAGAGCUCGUAGGUGGUUUGUCGCGUUGUUCGUGAAAACCGGGGGCUUAACCCUCGGCGUGCGGGCGAUACGGGCAGACUGGAGUACUGCAGGGGAGACUGGAAUUCCUGGUGUAGCGGUGAAAUGCGCAGAUAUCAGGAGGAACACCGGUGGCGAAGGCGGGUCUCUGGGUAGUAACUGACGCUGAGGAACGAAAGCGUGGGUAGCGAACAGG
Molecule: ribosomal RNA, 253 nt
Filed under: uncultured bacterium
Lineage: Bacteria
Description: partial 16S ribosomal RNA
Rfam family: Bacterial small subunit ribosomal RNA
Source: RNAcentral